Molecule: long non-coding RNA, 543 nt
Organism: Capsicum annuum
Lineage: Eukaryota; Viridiplantae; Streptophyta; Magnoliopsida; Solanales; Solanaceae
Exons: 3
Source: RefSeq, a predicted model, not a curated record
ACCGUAUCUCAUCGGACCUCUAUAGGCUGUUGCUUGGUGAGGAGGAAGAUAAUGCUACCAAUACAUCAGCUGCACCUAAGCCUGACCCUGAUGGUAAAAAUCAUGAUGUUGAUGCUACUUAGAAACAUGAUGUUGCUGGUUUUUAGAAGGACGAGAAGACACUGGACAAUCAGUUAGAUAUUGUUGAAGGGAUGAAGUUUGAUAGGGGUUACAUAUCACCAUACUUCAUCACAAAUCAGAAGAAUCAGAAAUCUUUAUGGUUUUGGUUUGCUAAUCUUAGUUAAGCUUGCACAUGUGUUGUGCUAACGCUUUUUACAUAUGUUUCAUUAUUCUCCUUUUUGGUUAAAUUCACUAUGCUUCUGCUAUGCCUUGCAGGAACUCGAGGACCCACUAAUUCUUAUUCACGAGAAAAAGAUAUCAAGCAUUAAUACUGUUGUGAGAACAUUAGAGUUAGCUCUAAAGGUUUACGCCAUCAAAGCACCGGGCAUUGGCGAAAAUAGGAGAGACAAUUUGCAAGAUCUCACUAUUUUAACUUGAGGCCAA